RNAcentral lists this ribosomal RNA (292 nucleotides) under uncultured bacterium. RNAcentral describes it as "partial 16S ribosomal RNA". The record is from RNAcentral.
GGACUACUCGGGUAUCUAAUCCCGUUCGCUCCCCUAGCUUUCGCACCUGAGCGUCAGUAACUUGCCAGGACGCUGCCUUCGCCUUUGGUGUUCUUCCAGAUCUCUACGCAUUUCACCGCUCCACCUGGAAUUCCGCGUCCCUCUCAAGCCCUCAAGUGCAGCAGUUUUCCGAAUAGUGUGAUGGUUAAGCCACCACCUGUCACUCAAAACUUACUGCACCGCCUGCGUGCUCUUUACGCCCAAUAAAUCCGGACAACGCUUGCCCCCUACGUAUUACCGCGGCUGCUGGCAC